RNAcentral lists this non-coding RNA (30 nucleotides) under Mus musculus (house mouse). Lineage: Eukaryota; Metazoa; Chordata; Mammalia; Rodentia; Muridae. RNAcentral also lists the same sequence under 1 other name. The record is from RNAcentral.
UCACAACAACCCUUUGUGGAGGUCCCAUUA